GAUUUUAAGCUCCUUGCAAGGAAAAUUAAAAUAUUUAUAUCUUCUACAUCCUUUCUCCAGAAAAUAAAGAAGACACUAGAAGAAAAAACCUUCAAAAGAGAAAUAUCUUAGAGAACUGCUAGAGUGGCCAAGACUGGGUCCAUGGAAGAAAAUGGUAUAUACCAACUAUCUCAGAAAAAAAGAGGUUUAAGAAUGAUUACCUUCUAAACUCAAGAUUCAAAUUUUAACAAAAAGUAAAGAGAAGAACAAGUGAGAAAGCUAGUAGCAAUGCAAGCAUGCUUGAGGACAUAGAAAAUUCAUGGAAAUCUGCAACAUGAAAAAAAUCAGAGAAAUCGUCAAAUCGGUAUCAGAAAAAGGUUAUGGGAAAAGCCAAACAUUGGUUGAAUUUGAGCUGACUGGAGGAUGCAAACUACAGCCGCAGGUCCAGGCAGAUAAGAAAAGUGAAGCCCAGAGAUGUCUUUCUCCAGCAUUAGGCUUUUCUGUAGUCAUUCAUUUUGGUAUGUAUGUGGGAAGGGAGUUUAAUUAAUGACAUCUUUCUUACAUAACCUUUUUUUUUUUUUAAAGGCUUUGGAUUGUACUUGUGUGAUCAUGUCUUUUUUCUUUCUUUCUUUCUUUCUUUCUUUCUUUCUUUCUUUCUUUCUUUCUUUUUCUUUCUUUCUUUCUUUUUUUUUUUGAAACAGGGUCUCACUCUGUCACCCAGGCUGGAGUGCCGUGGUAUGAUCACAGCUCACUGCAGCCUUGAACUCUCAGGUGAGGACUACAGGCACACCACCAUGCCUGGCUAAUUUUUGUAUUUUUAGUAGAGACAGGGUUUUGCCAUAUUGCCCAGGCUGGUCUUCAACUCCUAAGCUCAAGCCACCUGCCGGCCUCAGCUUCCCAAAGUGCUGGGAUUACAGGGGAA
This 901-nucleotide long non-coding RNA is filed under the name Pan troglodytes (chimpanzee). RNAcentral's name for it is "lncRNA (ENSPTRG00000052903.1)". Lineage: Eukaryota; Metazoa; Chordata; Mammalia; Primates; Hominidae. The record is from RNAcentral.